CUACAUUUCCCAGAAUGCACCUGCACCCACUCAUCUGCCCUCACCCUUCAGGUGCAACCGCUUCACCUAUGGGCUUGACGGGAAAAUUCAAAAUCGCGAACCGUUACAGCCUGGAGUACUCGGUGUCUUUCUUUGUUUGCUCAUCAACAGUAAGAGGUCAUGUACACUGUGGUCAACUUUGUGGACGCUGAAGAGGUUUCUAGGGAAAGAUGAUAGAAAUAUAAUGAAGUAACAGUGGAAGCUAAAACAUCAGACUGAUCCAGACACUGAAGAAAUUGAGGUCACUGCAAUCUGGCCAAAAUGAUACAACUAUAAUGAAGUAGCCUACUGUAAUGAAGCUGCAGAACAACACAGAGACUCUGAGGACAUCAACACAGAAAAUCAAGCUCCAAAGAGAUGUCUGUCCAGAUGAGGGUGCAUCAACGUUACCUUUGCUGACAAGUAUAUGCUUUACAAUGUAAAACCUAACAGUUAACUUAACUCAAACCAUUUAAGGAAAUCGGUUGCCUUAAACCAUUAAGUUUAAAAAAAAAACAUACAUUUGAGUACUAUGAACUUAAGUCUUGUGCAAUUAUGCACUUAUAUUUAGGUAGUGUGAAC
Misgurnus anguillicaudatus (oriental weatherfish) is the source of this 600-nucleotide non-coding RNA. NCBI's taxonomy places the organism in Eukaryota, Metazoa, Chordata, Actinopteri, Cypriniformes, Cobitidae. The record is from RefSeq and is a predicted model, not a curated record.